This 321-nucleotide small nuclear RNA is filed under the name Jaculus jaculus (lesser Egyptian jerboa). Its description in RNAcentral is "7SK RNA (ENSJJAG00000004655.1)". It matches the Rfam family "7SK RNA". Rfam says of the family: 7SK was discovered as an abundant small nuclear RNA in the mid-70s but a possible function has only recently been suggested. Two independent studies have found that 7SK RNA binds the CDK9/cyclin T complex (known as elongation factor P-TEFb). P-TEFb activates transcription by phosphorylating the C-terminal domain of RNA polymerase II. The record is from Rfam by way of RNAcentral. Lineage: Eukaryota; Metazoa; Chordata; Mammalia; Rodentia; Dipodidae.
GGAUGUGAAGGUGAUCUUGCUGUGACAUCUGUCACUCUGUGGGUCACCUUGAUUUAUCUAGCUGAUGUGGCUGGCUAGGCCUGUGUCCUGUCCCCUUCCUCCCUCAUGGCUUCAUGUGUGUCCCACCAGAAACUGUGUGCUCAGUUAAAAAGGACAACCUUCCCUGAGUAGAGGAGGACUGGUCUUUGGUUAGGGUAUGUGAGUAGACGAGUUCCUCUGCUAGAACCUCAAAACAAGCUCUCAAAAAAUUGGGGUGUGGUUAGAGACCAUAUGUAGGAAUAUGGCUCAGUGGUAGAGAACUUGCUCAGCAGGUCUGAGGCC